RNAcentral lists this ribosomal RNA (372 nucleotides) under Thalassarche bulleri (Buller's albatross). RNAcentral's name for it is "12S mitochondrial ribosomal RNA". It matches the Rfam family "Bacterial small subunit ribosomal RNA", at positions 875 to 1379 of the family's 1533-position model. The record is from RNAcentral. Lineage: Eukaryota; Metazoa; Chordata; Aves; Procellariiformes; Diomedeidae.
AAUACUUACCCCACCAAAGUAUCCGCCCGAGAACUACGAGCACAAACGCUUAAAACUCUAAGGACUUGGCGGUGUCCCAAAUCCACCUAGAGGAGCCUGUUCUAUAAUCGAUAACCCACGAUACACCCAACCGUUCCUUGCCAAAACAGCCUACAUACCGCCGUCGCCAGCCCACCUCCCCUGAGAGCUCAACAGUGGACACAAUAGCCUACCCCGCUAGCAAGACAGGUCAAGGUAUAGCCCAUGGAGCGGAAGAAAUGGGCUACAUUUUCUAAAAUAGAAAACUCUACGGAAGGGGUAUGAAACACCCCUAGAAGGCGGAUUUAGCAGUAAAGCGGGAUAAUAUACGCCCCCUUUAAACCGGCCCUGGNN